Brienomyrus brachyistius is the source of this 558-nucleotide long non-coding RNA. RefSeq lists it as uncharacterized. The record is from RefSeq and is a predicted model, not a curated record. Lineage: Eukaryota; Metazoa; Chordata; Actinopteri; Osteoglossiformes; Mormyridae. The transcript is spliced from 4 exons.
AAACACUUUCGUUCUGAACCGGUUUAAAUAGUUAUUCUGCCGUUAAAUCCGAAGCGAUGGACGCCUGAUGCCGCCGUUGAGGGUCAGAGCAGAAGCUGCGCCGGAGCGAUGUUAGUUAGGCUCCGUGUGUAGGAGUUGUGGUCGACUACCGUCUUGAAGUGGGUCAGGGCAUAAUUCAAUCCAGUUGCAGUUCUCUUCUUUUUGAUUACCAUGUUAUCUGCCAUCUUCACGAAAUCGCUGAUUGAAAUGGCUUUACGCUUAUAUACAGCCCUUUAUUGAGUCAGAAUAGCCUAUAAAGGGUCAAAGAACAGAUGCUGAUAACCACUGGCAAAAGAUUGAUGGUCUGCCGCCGCCUUGUGGCUGCAUUAGAUGACAGAAAACUACAGGACACCUUCAGCCUCAACGUUACAAGAUGCACAUCCUCUAAGUGCCGGUUUUCCCAUAGCCCCCUCGAACACCCGCACUUCGUUUAUUUGCCAUCAGUGCCUCUGCAGCUUGAAAUCUCAUGCUUCUGCCAUCCGUGAGACCAGUCUCAAUAAAGGCUACAAUAUUACAGUA